RNAcentral lists this ribosomal RNA (443 nucleotides) under uncultured bacterium. RNAcentral describes it as "SSU rRNA". It matches the Rfam family "Bacterial small subunit ribosomal RNA", at positions 26 to 518 of the family's 1533-position model. The record is from RNAcentral.
AGAACGAACGCUGGCGGCAGGCUUAACACAUGCAAGUCGAGCGCCCCGCAAGGGGAGCGGCAGACGGGUGAGUAACGCGUGGGAACAUACCCUCCGGUUCGGAAUAGCUCAGGGAAACUUGGAUUAAUACCGGAUACGGCCUAGCGGCGAAAGAUUCAUCGCCGGAGGAUUGGCCCGCGUUCGAUUAGCUAGUUGGUGAGGUAACGGCUCACCAAGGCGACGAUCGAUAGCUGGUCUGAGAGGAUGAUCAGCCACAUUGGGACUGAGACACGGCCCAAACUCCUACGGGAGGCAGCAGUGGGGAAUAUUGGACAAUGGGCGCAAGCCUGAUCCAGCCAUGCCGCGUGAGUGAUGACGGCCUUAGGGUUGUAAAGCUCUUUCGCUAGGGACGAUAAUGACGGUACCUAGACAAGAAGCCCGGCUAACUUCGCGCCAGUAGCCGC